Molecule: unclassified non-coding RNA, 373 nt
Filed under: soil metagenome
Description: partial contains 5.8S ribosomal RNA, internal transcribed spacer 2, and large subunit ribosomal RNA
Rfam family: 5.8S ribosomal RNA (bases 1-121)
Source: RNAcentral
GAUGAAGAACGCAGCGAAAUGCGAUAAGUAAUGCGAAUUGCAGAAUUCCAGUGAGUCAUCGAAUCUUUGAACGCACAUUGCGCCCUUUGGUAUUCCGAAGGGCAUGCCUGUUCGAGCGUCAUUAUCACCCCUCAAGCCCUCGGCUUGGUGUUGGACGGUUUGGUGGAGGCCCCCUCGGGGGCUCCUGCCCCUCCCAAAGACAAUGACGGCGGCCUCGUUGGACCCCCGGUACACUGAGUUCUUCACGGGACACGUAUCGGACACAUGGGUUUACGGGGCACGGUCUGCCUCCCCUCAGGGAGAAUCUUUCUAAGGUUGACCUCGGAUCAGGUAGGGAUACCCGCUGAACUUAAGCAUAUCAAUAAGCGGAGGA